RNAcentral lists this ribosomal RNA (460 nucleotides) under uncultured bacterium. RNAcentral's name for it is "partial 16S ribosomal RNA". It matches the Rfam family "Bacterial small subunit ribosomal RNA", at positions 28 to 507 of the family's 1533-position model. The record is from RNAcentral.
GACGAACGCUGGCGGCGUGCUUAACACAUGCAAGUCGAGCGGUAAGGCCUCUUCGGGGGUACACGAGCGGCGAACGGGUGAGUAACACGUGGGUGACCUUCCCUCAGCUCUGGGAUAAGCCUGGGAAACUGGGUCUAAUACCGGAUAUGACCUUUCCUCGCAUGGGGUUUGGUGGAAAGUUUUUUCGGCUCGGGAUGGGCCCGCGGCCUAUCAGCUUGUUGGUGGGGUGAUGGCCUACCAAGGCGACGACGGGUAGCCGGCCUGAGAGGGCGACCGGCCACACUGGGAGGGAGACACCGCCCAGAAUCCUACGGGAGGCAGCAGUGGGGAAUAUUGCGAAAUGGGCGGAAGUCUGACGCAGCGACGCCGCGUGGGGGAUGACGGCCUUCGGGUUGUAAACCUCUUUCGACCCCGACGAAUUUGGACGGUAGGGGUAGAAGAAGCACCGGCCAACUACGUG